RNAcentral lists this ribosomal RNA (481 nucleotides) under uncultured bacterium. RNAcentral describes it as "bacterial SSU rRNA". It matches the Rfam family "Bacterial small subunit ribosomal RNA", at positions 329 to 802 of the family's 1533-position model. The record is from RNAcentral.
GUACUUACUCCUACGGGAGGCAGCAGUAGGGAAUAUUGGACAAUGGGCGCAAGCCUGAUCCAGCCAUGCCGCGUGAGUGAAGAAGGCCCUCGGGUUGUAAAGCUCUUUUGUCCGGAAAGAAAAGCAUUCGGUUAAUACCCGGGUGUUCUGACGGUACCGGAAGAAUAAGCACCGGCUAACUUCGUGCCAGCAGCCGCGGUAAUACGAAGGGUGCAAGCGUUACUCGGAAUUACUGGGCGUAAAGCGUGCGUAGGUGGUUUGUUAAGUCUGAUGUGAAAGCCCUGGGCUCAACCUGGGAAUGGCACUGGAUACUGGCAAGCUAGAGUGUGGCAGAGGGUAGUGGAAUUCCUGGUGUAGCAGUGAAAUGCGUAGAGAUCAGGAGGAACAUCCGUGGCGAAGGCGACUGCCUGGGCCAACACUGACACUGAGGCACGAAAGCGUGGGGAGCAAACAGGAUUAGAUACCCCUGUAGUCCAGGCAU